UCGUCGUCCGACGUUAUCUGUCAGAUCCCAUAUAAAAAUUUGACAGGCCGUCCCAUAAAAUCGCAUGCGAAAAAGCGUUGCCACCGCCCUAACCAAGGUUAUUAGACUCUAUACAGGUUAUGACAAAAGCCUGUUUUGGCCGAUUUCCAAUAAAAAAAUGAAUGAAAAAAUUUUGACAGACAAAUUGGAAUGGUUUGUUUACAAUUGGACUGGUUUGUUUACAAUUCGACUGAUUGCAACUGGAUUGCAAUCGUGCAAUAGUACGAUGUUUUAGGUUGAAUUGUUCAAUUAUUGUAAAUCUAAUUUUAAUUAUGUACUUUCUACUGGACUUGUGUAGAAAGUGGAGAAGGGAUUCCGCUAUGAAUAUUCGUGUGUUAUCGUAUUAAGACCCAACAUGUACGAGUUGAAAAAUCGUUACGUCGGAAAACGAUCUCAGGACAUUAACUUAAGUUUGCUGCAAAAUCAUGUGUGUAUAAGCAAUAAGGGAGAGCCGAUAAAGAAGCGGAUGAAGUAGCCAGAUAGUGAGCAUAUGCUGGACGGAAAAUGUAUGCAGCGGCUGGACAUAAAAAAAUCAUAUCGAACGACACGUUUCUAACCGUAGAUUAACAUCAAACCAGUCUCUAACAGCACGUGAAUUUCAUCACACGAGAUUCUUUCCGUCCAAGAACAGUCCUGUGAUCUAGUGAUGGGCGUUUCGGAGCGCACCAACGGCUCCGGACUAACGGGUCCGGAGCCAGCUACGCUCCGACGGCUCCGUAGCCGGCUCCGCUCCAAGGGCUCCGCAACCGGUUCCGGACUAACAGCUCUGCACUCACGGCUCCAUUCCAACAACUGCGGAGCCGGCUGCGAGUCCACUGUUCCAGAGCCGUCGACGAAUCAACGGCUCCGAACUAACGGUUCAAUAGAGACAGCAUUGCAUGCUAGCCUAAUCAAAAAACGAAUAUAUCUUCUCGUGGAAGCUAACACACGAUGUGAUUGCAGUAUUGACAUGUAUGACGUCAUAAUAUUUUUCAUGUUUGAUAGAGGCAGAUAAACCCUAUCCACAUUAUUUCACUUUUCAUACAAAUUAUAUGAUAAAGAGAAGGAGAAAGAGAUGAAUAUGAGGGUCACCGAGAAGAGCACUUGUGAAGGAAGAGUAGUGGCUGAGCCGGGGAGUAAAUGUUGAACGGUCCUGUUGUAACAAUUAUAAUUAGGAAAUAAACUAUAAGUAUAUUUGUGCUUA
Molecule: long non-coding RNA, 1222 nt
Organism: Anopheles merus
Lineage: Eukaryota; Metazoa; Arthropoda; Insecta; Diptera; Culicidae
Exons: 2
Source: RefSeq, a predicted model, not a curated record